ACGCUGGCGGCAGGCCUAACACAUGCAAGUCGAGCGGAAACGACACUAACAAUCCUUCGGGUGCGUUAAUGGGCGUCGAGCGGCGGACGGGUGAGUAAUGCCUAGGAAAUUGCCUUGAUGUGGGGGAUAACCAUUGGAAACGAUGGCUAAUACCGCAUGAUGCCUACCGGCCAAAGAGGGGGACCUUCGGGCCUCUCGCGUCAAGAUAUGCCUAGGUGGGAUUAGCUAGUUGGUGAGGUAAUGGCUCACCAAGGCGACGAUCCCUAGCUGGUCUGAGAGGAUGAUCAGCCACACUGGAACUGAGACACGGUCCAGACUCCUACGGGAGGCAGCAGUGGGGAAUAUUGCACAAUGGGCGAAAGCCUGAUGCAGCCAUGCCGCGUGUAUGAAGAAGGCCUUCGGGUUGUAAAGUACUUUCAGUUGUGAGGAAGGGUGUGUAGUUAAUAGCUGCGCAUCUUGACGUUAGCAACAGAAGAAGCACCGGCUAACUCCGUGCCAGCAGCCGCGGUAAUACGGAGGGUGCGAGCGUUAAUCGGAAUUACUGGGCGUAAAGCGCAUGCAGGUGGUUCAUUAAGUCAGAUGUGAAAGCCCGGGGCUCAACCUCGGAACUGCAUUUGAAACUGGUGAACUAGAGURCUGUAGAGGGGGGUAGAAUUUCAGGUGUAGCGGUGAAAUGCGUAGAGAUCUGAAGGAAUACCAGUGGCGAAGGCGGCCCCCUGGACA
This 723-nucleotide ribosomal RNA is filed under the name Vibrio sp. 12D11. RNAcentral describes it as "bacterial SSU rRNA". It matches the Rfam family "Bacterial small subunit ribosomal RNA", at positions 33 to 735 of the family's 1533-position model. The record is from RNAcentral. Lineage: Bacteria; Pseudomonadati; Pseudomonadota; Gammaproteobacteria; Vibrionales; Vibrionaceae.